This 466-nucleotide ribosomal RNA is filed under the name uncultured bacterium. RNAcentral describes it as "bacterial SSU rRNA". It matches the Rfam family "Bacterial small subunit ribosomal RNA", at positions 329 to 792 of the family's 1533-position model. The record is from RNAcentral.
ACCCAGACUCCUACGGGAGGCAGCAGUGAGGAAUAUUGGUCAAUGGGCGCGAGCCUGAACCAGCCAAGUCGCGUGAGGGAUGACGGCCCUACGGGUUGUAAACCUCUUUUGUCGGGGAGCAAAUUCCGCCACGUGUGGCGGAGUCGAGAGUACCCGAAGAAAAAGCAUCGGCUAACUCCGUGCCAGCAGCCGCGGUAAUACGGAGGAUGCGAGCGUUAUCCGGAUUUAUUGGGUUUAAAGGGUGCGCAGGCGGAAGAUCAAUUCAGCGGUAAAAUUGGGAGGCUCACCCCCUUCGAGCCGUUGAAACUGGUUUUCUUGAGUGAGCGAGAAGUAUGCGGAAUGCGUGGUGUAGCGGUGAAAUGCAUAGAUAUCACGCAGAACCCCGAUUGCGAAGGCAGCGUGCCGGGCCGCCACUGACGCUGAGGCACGAAAGCGCGGGGAUCGAACAGGAUUAGAUACCCCAGUA